RNAcentral lists this small RNA (128 nucleotides) under Marmota monax (woodchuck). Lineage: Eukaryota; Metazoa; Chordata; Mammalia; Rodentia; Sciuridae. The record is from RNAcentral.
GCCUGGGCACAGUAGCCCAUGCCUGUAAUCCCAGUGGCUCAGGAGGCUGAUACAGGAGGAUCAUAGGUUCAAGGGCAGCCAUAGCAAUGUAGCGAGGCCCUAAGCAACUUAGUGAGACCCUGUCUCUA